RNAcentral lists this ribosomal RNA (459 nucleotides) under uncultured bacterium. Its description in RNAcentral is "partial 16S ribosomal RNA". It matches the Rfam family "Bacterial small subunit ribosomal RNA", at positions 338 to 795 of the family's 1533-position model. The record is from RNAcentral.
CCUACGGGAGGCAGCAGUGAGGAAUAUUGGUCAAUGGCCGGAAGGCUGAACCAGCCAAGCCGCGUGAAGGACGAAGGUGCCAAGCAUUGUAAACUUCUUUUGUCAAGGGACAAAAUCAGGCUCGAGAGUCUGACCGAGGGUACUUGAAGAAAAAGCAUCGGCUAACUCCGUGCCAGCAGCCGCGGUAAUACGGAGGAUGCGAGCGUUAUCCGGAUUUAUUGGGUUUAACGGGUGCGUAGGCGGAAGGUAAAGUCAGCGGUAAAAUGUCGGUGCUCAACACCGGCCUGCCGUUGAAACUGGUCGUCUUGAGUGAGCGAGAGGUAGGCGGAAUGCGUGGUGUAGCGGUGAAAUGCAUAGAUAUCACGCAGAACUCCGAUUGCGAAGGCAGCAUACCGGCGCUCAACUGACGCUGAGGCACGAAAGCGUGGGGAGCGAACAGGAUUAGAUACCCUGGUAGUC